CCCCUANCUCUUAUAGCCCCACAACCCCCCCCCUAGGCGCCGUGUGCUUGGUUUUAGGUUGGGGCGACCGCGGAGUACAAUAAAACCUCCACAAUGAAUGGGAACACCCCCUUAUCUGAGGGCCACACCCCCUAANAAUUANAACACUAACAUAAAAUGAUCCAUUACUUGAUCAAUGAACCAAGUUACCCUGGGGAUAACAGCGCAAUCCAUUUCAAGAGCCCCUAUCGACAAAUGGGUUUACGACCUCGAUGUUGGAUCAGGGUACCCCAGUGGUGCAGCAGCUACUAACGGUUCGUUUGUUCAACGAUUAAAACCCU
RNAcentral lists this ribosomal RNA (320 nucleotides) under Mantidactylus melanopleura. RNAcentral's name for it is "partial 16S ribosomal RNA". It matches the Rfam family "Bacterial large subunit ribosomal RNA", at positions 2213 to 2597 of the family's 2925-position model. The record is from RNAcentral. Lineage: Eukaryota; Metazoa; Chordata; Amphibia; Anura; Mantellidae.